UCCAUUUUCAUUUUGCAUUGCUAUAAAAAUUCUUCCUUUUUACUUGUUAGCAAGCUGGCAAGUGCAAGUAAAAAAUGCGAAGCUUCACUGUCUCACUAAUGCCAUGCAGUGAAAGAAAGGCGUGGAAUAAGCAAGCCGAUAAAGAACUGGCGCAUCUCUUGAGAUGCACUUGAAGUCUGAAAAGCUCUUGGUCUGACUCCUUCCUGCUUUAUGCAGUUGAAUGCAAGGAUGAAGUGAUGGACCACAGCAUAGUGGUCUGAGCAACAUUCCUGUGACCCUGGUUCCAACGAAUGUUGAAUCCAUUCGCACAAGAAACCCGCGAUUGAUUCAGGAAGAAUUGUGGAACAUUUCCGAUCAUUACCAACUGAUCACUGAGGUGCACCAGUUUGGAUGUGGAGGCAUUCUGUGCUGCUUGCCUGACCAGGCCUGCAUCACAGACCUACUAAGAUGCACAACAUUCGCUUCUCAUCCGAUGAAAAUGAAGCAGCCUCCGGAAAUCCAGGGUCACAUCCUAAACAGGCUACUUCAAGGUCUUCUUCAUGUUUCACCUGCCCAAAUGCACCUUGAACUAGCUACCACUUGCAAGUGCAGUUCUAGUCGUAUGCAAAGGAGGAACAUAAGGUCUACUGUACUUAUAUUGACAUUGAAGUUCUAGUGAGGUUCAGAUUUAUAAUGUAGAUUGCAAAUUGUCAAAACAAUGCCAUGCAUCACUUUUUUUACUUUGCAAGAUAACUCAUUGAAAAUAUGUGAACAUGAAAUCAGUCAUUGUUAUACAUGUUUAUGGGGUUCAAUAAUGUAAAGUGCCUCUAAUAAAACAGUCACAGAAGUAUAGAAAGAACCUUAACUUCUUAUUAGAAGAACAUUUCUUUGCUCUGAACUUUGUCUGCAAAUAUUUCGAAGCACUCAUGAGUGAUGAAAUAUAAGGCAGCACACAUAUGACAUGAUAGAGAAUUGAGCUCCAAUUGUUUGGUGCUCAUUAUCAUGUUCAUUCAAUUGCGUAGCAACAUGAAGCACAUGGAUAUGCAGCCAAAUAUAAAAUAAAUAGUGCCGACUCUGUAGGUGCCUUCAUUAUAUAGC
Rhipicephalus microplus (southern cattle tick) is the source of this 1077-nucleotide long non-coding RNA. RefSeq lists it as uncharacterized. The record is from RefSeq and is a predicted model, not a curated record. Lineage: Eukaryota; Metazoa; Arthropoda; Arachnida; Ixodida; Ixodidae.